Onychostoma macrolepis is the source of this 922-nucleotide long non-coding RNA. RefSeq lists it as uncharacterized. The record is from RefSeq and is a predicted model, not a curated record. The transcript has 4 exons. Lineage: Eukaryota; Metazoa; Chordata; Actinopteri; Cypriniformes; Cyprinidae.
AAAGUUGUCCAAAUGAAGUUCUUCCAGGGGCGGAUCUACCGGGGUGGCACGGGUAAUAAAAAGCUGUGCCACCCCAGAAUUAUCACAGAAUAAAAUAUACAUGUAAGCAGUGUUUCAUGUGAUGCUUUUCAGCCGCGGCGAUGACAGCGUAAUGGAAGAUAAUGGCAAAAAAAAAACAACAACAAAAAACACGCCUUUCACUAAAGUGUGCACGAUGGUUGCACGCGCACGCAGCGCGCCCAGUGUAGUCGGCUUCAUUAACAAAUGACUCUUAUGAGUCGGUUCUUUUUGAGUCAAAAACACAAAGCGCAGCCCAUUCACUAACGAAUUGUUUUUACUUUUGUUAGUGAAUCAGAUAAUGCUUCUCGGUUUAUUCAGAAGUCCUCUGAUAAAUCUAAUCCCGUCCAGAUAUGUCUGAGAUUCAUCGUGUAAUUGUUUGGUGAUCGGUUCUCCGACCGCUCGCUCCACUUUCAUCAUGGAUAUAGAGGCCUUUCUGCCACAUCGGAUCAAACAAUAACAUGAAAUCAGUAAGAAGAUGCCGAUCACGAAAACUAAUAGCAGAGUUAGAAAUGAGAUAUAGCUAGUCUUGUGGCAGGAGACCAGGAAACUGGGUAACACUUUAUUUCGAUAGUCCACAUUAGACAUUCUACUAACAGUGAAAACGCCAUAGUGCUUGCCGCUGGAUUUGUCCCCACACACCACACAGUCCACCACGCAGGCCUUGUCCUCCUCGCCACCUUCUACAUCGCUGUUUCCCGCCCGGGGCGAGCUGCUCUCCUCCUCCCCCCGCAGGAGCUGCUUGAGAAACCUUCCCACGUCGAGAAUUCACAGCCACCCCGGAGCGAAUCCCUAAAAGCUGCAGACAGUAAGCCGAACAAGUCAGACUCGGAGGAGAAACACGCUUAACAGCCCUCUGAAGACC